AUUGAACGCUGGCGGCAGGCCUAACACAUGCAAGUCGAGCGGAUGAAGGGAGCUUGCUCCUGGAUUCAGCGGCGGACGGGUGAGUAAUGCCUAGGAAUCUGCCUGGUAGUGGGGGAUAACGUCCGGAAACGGGCGCUAAUACCGCAUACGUCCUGAGGGAGAAAGUGGGGGAUCUUCGGACCUCACGCUAUCAGAUGAGCCUAGGUCGGAUUAGCUAGUUGGUGGGGUAAAGGCCUACCAAGGCGACGAUCCGUAACUGGUCUGAGAGGAUGAUCAGUCACACUGGCACUGGGACCCGGGCCAGCCCCCUACGGGGGGCAGCAGUGGGGAAUUUUGGACAAUGGGCGAACGCCUGCUCCACCCAUGCCGCGGUUGUGAAGAAGGUCUUCGUAUUGUAAAGCCCUUUAAGUUGGGAGGAAGGGCAGUAAGUUAAUACCUUGCUUUUUUGACUUUCCCAACAGAAUAAGCCCCGGCUACCUUCG
This 482-nucleotide ribosomal RNA is filed under the name uncultured bacterium. RNAcentral's name for it is "partial 16S ribosomal RNA". It matches the Rfam family "Bacterial small subunit ribosomal RNA", at positions 30 to 505 of the family's 1533-position model. The record is from RNAcentral.